Manduca sexta (tobacco hornworm) is the source of this 1006-nucleotide long non-coding RNA. RefSeq lists it as uncharacterized. The transcript is spliced from 3 exons. NCBI's taxonomy places the organism in Eukaryota, Metazoa, Arthropoda, Insecta, Lepidoptera, Sphingidae. The record is from RefSeq and is a predicted model, not a curated record.
ACAGCGUCGUGACACCUGCGUUCGCGAAAUUAUCUAAAAAACAAUGUCGUACAUCCAUAAUAGAGUAUACAGUGCUGUCCAAACAACACAGACCUUCAAUUCCACCAUCUGCAAGUCUGUGGCAAUUUUACCAGCUGUUUUAAUACUUUGAAGGAAAUAUUCAAAAUGAAGUGUAAUUGCAUGAUAGAAAAAUUUUAGCGUAUUUUUAAUUCUGAAGUUUAUUUUGCGAGAUUUAUUUUUUAAAAUAAAACAUCGUCUCGUUUGUCUAGUAGUGACGCACUAAAAUUGUAAACCGUGAAAUUAUAAGUUUGGCUCUUAACCUAGGCAAAUAACAAUAUUAUACAUUUUUUCCAAAAAAUAAACCUGAAUUGCCGGACAUGGCAAUUGUGCUUGAAAUGCGCUCUUACCAAACACUAACUGGGACUAAAUGUGUUGGGCGAAAAGUGCAAAUAAAGUGAUGUGAUGUCUACCCCGUCGGAUAUAAAAAGCUGUGCCUCUUGGCAGUCUUUGUCCAUCCUACAUUGUUGUAAGAUGAGAAGAUGUACUAAAGAUGAUAGCUGCACCAAACAGGAGAAGGGUUACGCAAGAUAUAAAUAAGUACAAUUGAUGACCAAGAGUCGGAAGUGAAGAGAAAAGUGGGGGCAACAACGCCCAAGGGGAGGAAAACUAAAGACAAAAUGUGUAGUUUAAUGACUAUCGCGGCAAUGGUGGGUACUGUGUUUUUUUUUUUCAAAUAUCUAUGUCCAGCUGUCAAUAUAUAUUGUGUACCAUGACCGAACAGAUUAUGAUAAUGAUGAUAAUGAUGAUGAUGAUAUAUGAAAAUCUGCUCUGAUAAUAAUAUAAUAAACAUUUCGGUAGGUACAAAGUGCCUCACAUACGAGAGUCGGUCAAAAUAAAAAAAUAAAAUCCAUCCCUCCCUUAAAACUCUUAAAUGAAGAUCCUAACACCGAACCAUAAUAUCAUCGCUAAUAGAAUAAAUUUAGCGUAACGGUAUUAUUAAACAAAG